CCCCAGCAGGGCUCAGGACGGUGCCUGGCUGUCAUAGGUGGGAGGGGCAGACGGCCCCCGCACACGUGCACAGCAUGCACAGGGGCACACGGACGUGCUUGCACAUGCGUGUGGGUGCCUCCAAGCGUGCAGGCGACAGUCAACCGAUGCCUACGUAGAGGGGCAUUUUGGAAACGACGUGUACUUUAAACUGCAGGGAGCAGACGGCGGAGGCUUGUGCCCGCAGUCCCCCCGGCCGCGCCCAGCGGGGAACCAGCCUCCAAUCACUUCCUUCCACUGAAAUGAAAAAUGAAAGUAAUUCACAGAAAAGAGUGCUUUACCAUUUUGACAAAAAGGUCACUGAUGAGCUGACAUGAAAUUCCCGGGAACCCUCCACGAACCGAGGAAACAGUGGGCAGUUCCUGAUCUCCGCAGGGGAAGCGCCAUCCGCGAGAUGUGAUGUGUCAGAAGCACCGUCACAGACCCGUCCAGCUUCUUGAUGGAAUCCAGCCCAGAGCAGCGUCCCCUCCCCAGAGCCACACGACACAAGCCACAUCCUGAAACGAGGUCCCCAUUCCAGAGAGUCUGUGUCCCCCGCUGUGCGUGGCCUCCUGCUGCCAUGAGCCCCAGAGCCAGGCCAUCACACCACAGGUGCCAAACUGACUUGUAAAAGGAAAAAU
This 659-nucleotide long non-coding RNA is filed under the name Felis catus (domestic cat). Its description in RNAcentral is "lncRNA (ENSFCAG00000049879.1)". Lineage: Eukaryota; Metazoa; Chordata; Mammalia; Carnivora; Felidae. The record is from RNAcentral.